GUCCACGCCGUAAACGUUGGGCACUAGGUGUGGGGCUCUAUCAACGGGCUCCGUGCCGUAGCUAACGCAUUAAGUGCCCCGCCUGGGGAGUACGGCCGCAAGGCUAAAACUCAAAGGAAUUGACGGGGGCCCGCACAAGCGGCGGAGCAUGUGGCUUAAUUCGAUGCAACGCGAAGAACCUUACCUGGGUUGAACUAUGCAGGAAAAGCCGUAGAGAUACGGUGUCCUUCGGGGCCUGCGAUAGGUGGUGCAUGGCUGUCGU
Molecule: ribosomal RNA, 262 nt
Filed under: uncultured bacterium
Lineage: Bacteria
Description: partial 16S ribosomal RNA
Rfam family: Bacterial small subunit ribosomal RNA
Source: RNAcentral